AUAUGACCGUGAUCCAUGCUUCAACAUCAUUUUGUUAAAGCAUAACAAUAAGAACGCGUCUGAUUUUUUUUAUGGCAUGUCUAACAUAAACCGAUUAAAAAAGGUUGCCGUCAUCUUCGGUUUUGUUGUUGUAUCUCUGCAUAUAGGUACUUAUUUUUUAAAACCAUUGUUAUUGCCUAACAAAACUAAUAAUAUCCAGAAAAGUGAGUGAAUAACCCCUAGGACGUCAAGUCUUUUCAAAUUGAUAAUUGAAAAUUAUAAACUUAAGAAUAUACGGCACUCAUUAAGUUAUAAUUAUUGUAUUGCCUUAAGUGUUAAGAAAUGCGCAUCAGGCGGCCGAGAGGACUCGGAAGAAAGGAAAUAAUGCUUGCAAUCAUAUUGGGAGUUUUUGGUGGUGCAUACAUAUGGAAACCAUUAUUGAUAAAACGGGCUAUUGAUUCUGAUUAUCAAGAGAAUACUGAAUCCGAUAAGUGAUUGGUGUUUUCUGUAGGAAACUAACAAUGGACUGGAAAAAACCACAGAGAAAAAUUAUAGACACCGUAAAGAAAAAACCUAUGCUACAGAUGGGUGGUGCCAUGGUGGUGAUAAUAGGAUUUUUAUUUUCAUACAAACGUUGGAUCGCUCCAAAGAUGAGGCGGCGGCGAUAUGCAGAAGCUGAAAAAUACGCAAGUCACUUGCUCAGUCUGGAGCAAGCAAAGAAGAGUGUUUAGUGGCAAAUUGUUUGUAGUUACAGAGGCAUCUGUUUUGGUGUAUAUAGCAGUUGUAAGAUUAAUUAAUAUAUUAUAAAAGAUGUCUGAA
Long non-coding RNA from Bacillus rossius redtenbacheri, 798 nucleotides. RefSeq lists it as uncharacterized. The transcript has 2 exons. NCBI's taxonomy places the organism in Eukaryota, Metazoa, Arthropoda, Insecta, Phasmatodea, Bacillidae. The record is from RefSeq and is a predicted model, not a curated record.